AUUGAACGCUGGCGGCAGGCCUAACACAUGCAAGUCGAGCGGAUGAAGGGAGCUUGCUCCUGGAUUCAGCGGCGGACGGGUGAGUAAUGCCUAGGAAUCUGCCUUGUAGUGGGGGAUAACGUCCGGAAACGGGCGCUAAUACCGCAUACGUCCUGAGGGAGAAAGUGGGGGAUCUUCGGACCUCACGCUAUCAGAUGAGCCUAGGUCGGAUUAGCGAGUGGGUGGGGUAAAGGCCUACCAAGGCGACGAUCCGUAACUGGUCUGAGAGGAUGAUCAGUCACACUGGAACUGAGACACGGUCCAGACUCCUACGGGAGGCAGCAGUGGGGAAUAUUGGACAAUGGGCGAAAGCCUGAUCCAGCCAUGCCGCGUGUGUGAAGAAGGUCUUCGGAUUGUAAAGCACUUUAAGUUGGGAGGAAGGGCAGUAAGUUAAUACCUUGCUGUUUUGACGUUACCAACAGAAUAAGCACCGGCUAACUUCGUG
RNAcentral lists this ribosomal RNA (484 nucleotides) under uncultured bacterium. RNAcentral describes it as "partial 16S ribosomal RNA". It matches the Rfam family "Bacterial small subunit ribosomal RNA", at positions 30 to 507 of the family's 1533-position model. The record is from RNAcentral.